UACGUAGGUGGCAAGCGUUGUCCGGAAUUAUUGGGCGUAAAGCGCGCGCAGGCGGCCUCUUAAGUCUGAUGUGAAAGCCCCCGGCUCAACCGGGGAGGGCCAUUGGAAACUGGGAGGCUUGAGUAUAGGAGAGAAGAGUGGAAUUCCGACGUGUAGCGGUGAAAUGCGUAGAGAUGUGGAGGAACACCAGUGGCGAAGGCGACUCUUUGGCCAUACUGACGCUGAGGCGCGAAAGCGUGGGGAGCAAACAGG
This 252-nucleotide ribosomal RNA is filed under the name uncultured bacterium. Its description in RNAcentral is "partial 16S ribosomal RNA". It matches the Rfam family "Bacterial small subunit ribosomal RNA", at positions 524 to 776 of the family's 1533-position model. The record is from RNAcentral.